GACAGCAGUCGCCGCGGGAACACAGAGGGUGCGAGCGUUAAUCGGAUUUACUGGGCGUAAAGCGUGCGUAGGCGGCUAAUUAAGUCGGAUGUGAAAUCCCCGAGCUUAACUUGGGAAUUGCAUUCGAUACUGGUUAGCUAGAGUGUGGGAGAGGAUGGUAGAAUUCCAGGUGUAGCGGUGAAAUGCGUAGAGAUCUGGAGGAAUACCGAUGGCGAAGGCAGCCAUCUGGCCUAACACUGACGCUGAGGUACGAAAGCAUAAGGAGCAAACAGGAUUAGAGACCCCCGUAGUCCCUGUCUCUUAUAC
This 306-nucleotide ribosomal RNA is filed under the name uncultured bacterium. RNAcentral describes it as "partial 16S ribosomal RNA". It matches the Rfam family "Bacterial small subunit ribosomal RNA", at positions 507 to 807 of the family's 1533-position model. The record is from RNAcentral.